GCCGGGCGUGGUGGCGCACGCCUGUAAUCCCAGCUACUCAGGAGGCUGAGGCAGGAGAAUCGCUUGAACCUGGGAGGUGUAGGGUGCAGUGAGCCGAGAUCGCACCACUGCACUCCGGCCUGGGCGACAGAGCAAGACUCUGCCUCAA
This is a non-coding RNA of Homo sapiens (human), 148 nucleotides long. It matches the Rfam family "Metazoan signal recognition particle RNA". From Rfam's summary of the family: The signal recognition particle (SRP) is a universally conserved ribonucleoprotein. It is involved in the co-translational targeting of proteins to membranes. NCBI's taxonomy places the organism in Eukaryota, Metazoa, Chordata, Mammalia, Primates, Hominidae. The record is from Rfam.